This 192-nucleotide ribosomal RNA is filed under the name Acinetobacter baumannii. RNAcentral describes it as "partial 16S ribosomal RNA". It matches the Rfam family "Bacterial small subunit ribosomal RNA", at positions 1 to 190 of the family's 1533-position model. The record is from RNAcentral. Lineage: Bacteria; Pseudomonadati; Pseudomonadota; Gammaproteobacteria; Moraxellales; Moraxellaceae.
UUUAACUGAAGAGUUUGAUCAUGGCUCAGAUUGAACGCUGGCGGCAGGCUUAACACAUGCAAGUCGAGCGGGGGAAGGUAGCUUGCUACCGGACCUAGCGGCGGACGGGUGAGUAAUGCUUAGGAAUCUGCCUAUUAGUGGGGGACAACAUCUCGAAAGGGAUGCUAAUACCGCAUACGUCCUACGGGAGAA